UAACACCCAACGAGAUGCGUGGGUCUGCGCAAUUCGACGGACUGGCUGGGCACCGAAGCCGAGAACGAGCAAGCUGUGUUCGAAGCACUUUCGUGCUCAGGAUUGCGACAGAUCCUUGAACCGUGUGCGUCUCCGAGCGGGUGCUGUUCCCCAAAUAUUCCCUUGGUCUUCUCAGGAAGAACAGCCCACUCAGGAGACGAUACAUGGGACAAGCCACCCAGGCCCAAGUGUGGAAUGCACAGCUGCUCAGGUCCCUGCCACAUGUGCAAUGGAAGUUGAUGAAAGUCUAGGCUCAGUGGACCAGUUCAGCUUGUGCACAGAAAAUGUGAGCACUUCCUAUCUGGCACAUGAAGAAGACUCCAAUGUGAGUG
Ornithodoros turicata is the source of this 371-nucleotide long non-coding RNA. RefSeq lists it as uncharacterized. NCBI's taxonomy places the organism in Eukaryota, Metazoa, Arthropoda, Arachnida, Ixodida, Argasidae. The transcript has 3 exons. The record is from RefSeq and is a predicted model, not a curated record.